Molecule: ribosomal RNA, 901 nt
Filed under: uncultured bacterium
Lineage: Bacteria
Description: bacterial SSU rRNA
Rfam family: Bacterial small subunit ribosomal RNA
Source: RNAcentral
AGAGUUUGAUCCUGGCUCAGGACGAACGCUGGCGGCGUGCCUAACACAUGCAAGUCGAGCGGGGAGAAGAAUUCGUUUUUCUCUUUAGCGGCGGACGGGUGAGUAACACGUGGGUAACCUGCCUCAAAGUGGGGGAUAGCCUUCCGAAAGGAAGAUUAAUACCGCAUAAUAUCAGAGCACUGCAUGGUGCUGUGAUUAAAGGAGCAAUCCGCUUUGAGAUGGACCCGCGGCGCAUUAGCUAGUUGGUGAGGUAACGGCCCACCAAGGCGACGAUGCGUAGCCGACCUGAGAGGGUGAUCGGCCACAUUGGAACUGAGACACGGUCCAGACUCCUACGGGAGGCAGCAGUGGGGAAUAUUGCACAAUGGGGGAAACCCUGAUGCAGCAACGCCGCGUGAGUGAUGAAGGCCUUCGGGUCGUAAAGCUCUUUGAUCAGGGACGAUAAUGACGGUACCUGAAAAACAAGCCACGGCUAACUACGUGCCAGCAGCCGCGGUAAUACGUAGGUGGCGAGCGUUGUCCGGAUUUACUGGGCGUAAAGAAUGCGUAGGUGGAUAUUUAAGUGGGAUGUGAAAUCCCCGGGCUCAACCCGGGAACUGCAUACCAAACUGGAUAUCUGGAGUGCAGGAGAGGAAAGCGGAAUUCCUAGUGUAGCGGUGAAAUGCGUAGAUAUUAGGAGGAACACCAGUGGCGAAGGCGGCAUUCUGGACUGUAACUGACACUGAGGCAUGAAAGCGUGGGGAGCAAACAGGAUUANAUACCCUGGUANUCCACGCCGUAAACUAUGGGUACUAGGUGUAGGGGGUAUCGACUCCCCCUGUGCCGUCGUUAACNCAAUAAGUACCCCGCCUGGGGAGUANNNUCGCAAGACUAAAACUCAAAGGNANUGACGGGGGCCCGC